CAAGGCUUGACAUACGCCGGAAAACCCUGGAGACAGGGUCCCCCUUGUGGUCGGUGUACAGGUGGUGCAUGGCUGUCGUCAGCUCGUGUCGUGAGAUGUUGGGUUAAGUCCCGCAACGAGCGCAACCCUUAUUCUGUGUUGCCAGCACGCCCUUUGGGGUGGUGGGGACUCACAGGAGACUGCCGGGGUCAACUCGGAGGAAGGUGGGGACGACGUCAAGUCAUCAUGCCCCUUAUGUCUUGGGCUGCACACGUGCUACAAUGGCCGGUACAAUGAGUUGCGAUGCCGUGAGGUGGAGCCAAUCCCAGAAACCCGAUCGUAGUCCGGAUUGCAGUCUGCAACUCGACUGCAUGAAGUCGGAAUCGCUAGUAAUCGCAGAUCAGCAUUGCUGCGGUGAAUACGUUCCCGGGCCUUGUACA
This 419-nucleotide ribosomal RNA is filed under the name Streptomyces sp. Its description in RNAcentral is "bacterial SSU rRNA". It matches the Rfam family "Bacterial small subunit ribosomal RNA", at positions 975 to 1387 of the family's 1533-position model. Lineage: Bacteria; Bacillati; Actinomycetota; Actinomycetes; Kitasatosporales; Streptomycetaceae. The record is from RNAcentral.